RNAcentral lists this long non-coding RNA (1410 nucleotides) under Homo sapiens (human). RNAcentral describes it as "HSALNT0350055". The stretch from base 587 to 755 matches the Rfam family "Pvt1 oncogene conserved region 4". The record is from RNAcentral. Lineage: Eukaryota; Metazoa; Chordata; Mammalia; Primates; Hominidae.
GAGCACAUGGGCCCGCGGGCCGGGCGGGCUCGGGGCGGCCGGGACGAGGAGGGGCGACGACGAGCUGCGAGCAAAGAUGUGCCCCGGGACCCCCGGCACCUUCCAGUGGAUUUCCUUGCGGAAAGGAUGUUGGCGGUCCCUGUGACCUGUGGAGACACGGCCAGAUCUGCCCUCCAGCCUGAUCUUUUGGCCAGAAGGAGAUUAAAAAGAUGCCCCUCAAGAUGGCUGUGCCUGUCAGCUGCAUGGAGCUUCGUUCAAGUAUUUUCUGAGCCUGAUGGAUUUACAGUGAUCUUCAGUGGUCUGGGGAAUAACGCUGGUGGAACCAUGCACUGGAAUGACACACGCCCGGCACAUUUCAGGAUACUAAAAGUGGUUUUAAGGGAGGCUGUGGCUGAAUGCCUCAUGGAUUCUUACAGCUUGGAUGUCCAUGGGGGACGAAGGACUGCAGCUGGCUGAGAGGGUUGAGAUCUCUGUUUACUUAGAUCUCUGCCAACUUCCUUUGGGUCUCCCUAUGGAAUGUAAGACCCCGACUCUUCCUGGUGAAGCAUCUGAUGCACGUUCCAUCCGGCGCUCAGCUGGGCUUGAGCUGACCAUACUCCCUGGAGCCUUCUCCCGAGGUGCGCGGGUGACCUUGGCACAUACAGCCAUCAUGAUGGUACUUUAAGUGGAGGCUGAAUCAUCUCCCCUUUGAGCUGCUUGGCACGUGGCUCCCUUGGUGUUCCCCUUUUACUGCCAGGACACUGAGAUUUGGAGAGAAUCCUGUUACACCUGGGAUUUAGGCACUUUCAAUCUGAAAAAAUACAUAUCCUUUCAGCACUCUGGACGGACUUGAGAACUGUCCUUACGUGACCUAAAGCUGGAGUAUUUUGAGAUUGGAGAAUUAAGAGCCAGUCUUGGUGCUCUGUGUUCACCUGGUUCAUCUGAGGAGCUGCAUCUACCCUGCCCAUGCCAUAGAUCCUGCCCUGUUUGCUUCUCCUGUUGCUGCUAGUGGACAUGAGAAGGACAGAAUAACGGGCUCCCAGAUUCACAAGCCCCACCAAGAGGAUCACCCCAGGAACGCUUGGAGGCUGAGGAGUUCACUGAGGCUACUGCAUCUUGAGACUCAGGAUGAAGACCCAGCUUGGGGCUGUCAAAGGUUUUUUGCAUGUCUGACACCCAUGACUCCACCUGGACCUUAUGGCUCCACCCAGAAGCAAUUCAGCCCAACAGGAGGACAGCUUCAACCCAUUACGAUUUCAUCUCUGCCCCAACCACUCAGCAGCAAGCACCUGUUACCUGUCCACCCCCACCCCUUCCCCCAAACUGCCUUUGAAAAAUCCCUAACCUAUGAGCUUUGAAUAAGAUGAGUACGAACUUCAUCGCCCACGUGGCGUGGCCGGCCUCGUGUCUAUUAAAUUCUUUUUCUACUAC